GGCGCGUGCUUAAUGAGUACACGCUUUGUAAAAGAAAAUGUAGUUCAGCGGGAUGCUGGCUUAUACUAGUUGACAUUUUCUUUAAUACAAUCUCCAGUAUGAGGAAAAACUACUGUUUGGGCCGCGUGAAAUGCGUCGGGUCCAUC
RNAcentral lists this non-coding RNA (146 nucleotides) under unclassified sequences. RNAcentral describes it as "cow-rumen-3 RNA". It matches the Rfam family "cow-rumen-3 RNA". Rfam says of the family: cow rumen metagenome. The record is from Rfam by way of RNAcentral.